This 214-nucleotide unclassified non-coding RNA is filed under the name plant metagenome. RNAcentral describes it as "partial contains small subunit ribosomal RNA, internal transcribed spacer 1, and 5.8S ribosomal RNA". The record is from RNAcentral.
UUUCCGUAGGUGAACCUGCGGAAGGAUCAUUCAUAAUAAGUGUUUUAUGGCACUUUUUUAAAUCCAUAUCCACCUUGUGUGCAAUGUCAGGGUUGAUUCUUCUCUCGAGAGGAUCAACCCCAAACAUCAACUAUAUCUCAACUCUUUGUCUGAAAAAAUAUUAUGAAUAGAACAAUUCAAAAUACAACUUUCAACAACGGAUCUCUUGGCUCUC